GACAGAGAGUGCAAACGUUGCUCGGAAUCACUGGGCGUAAAGGGCGUGUAGGCGGGAAGGAAAGUCAGAUGUGAAAUCCCUGGGCUCAACCCAGGAACUGCAUUUGAAAUUCCCUUUCUUGAGUGUCGGAGAGGAGAGCGGAAUUCCUGGUGUAGAGGUGAAAUUCGUAGAUAUCAGGAGGAACACCGGUGGCGAAGGCGGCUCUCUGGACGAUAACUGACGCUGAGACGCGAAAGCGUGGGGAGCAAACAGG
This 253-nucleotide ribosomal RNA is filed under the name uncultured bacterium. RNAcentral describes it as "partial 16S ribosomal RNA". It matches the Rfam family "Bacterial small subunit ribosomal RNA", at positions 524 to 776 of the family's 1533-position model. The record is from RNAcentral.